AUGAAGGGGAGCUUGCUCCCCGGAUUAGUGGCGAACGGGUGAGUAACACGUGAGCAACCUGCCCCUAACUCUGGGAUAACGCUUCGAAAGGAGUGCUAAUACCGGAUAUGAGCCUGGAAGACAUCUUCUGGGUUGGAAAGUUUUUCGGUUAGGGAUGGGCUCGCGGCCUAUCAGCUAGUUGGUGAGGUAAAGGCUCACCAAGGCGACGACGGGUAUCCGGCCUGAGAGGGCGACCGGACACACUGGGACUGAGACACGGCCCAGACUCCUACGGGAGGCAGCAGUGGGGAAUAUUGCGCAAUGGGCGAAAGCCUGACGCAGCGACGCCGCGUGAGGGAUGAAGGUCUUCGGAUUGUAAACCUCUUUCAGCAGGGACGAAGCGAAAGUGACGGUACCUGCAGAAGAAGCACCGGCUAACUACGUGCCAGCAGCCGCGGUAAUACGUAGGGUGCAAGCGUUGUCCGGAUUUAUUGGGCGUAAAGAGCUCGUAGGCGGUUAGACACGUCGGAUGUGAAAACUGGGGGCUCAACCCCCAGCCUGCAUUCGAUACGGUCUGACUAGAGUGUGGUAGGGGUAACUGGAAUUCCUGGUGUAGCGGUGAAAUGCGCAG
This 610-nucleotide ribosomal RNA is filed under the name uncultured Actinomycetes bacterium. Its description in RNAcentral is "bacterial SSU rRNA". It matches the Rfam family "Bacterial small subunit ribosomal RNA", at positions 69 to 693 of the family's 1533-position model. Lineage: Bacteria; Bacillati; Actinomycetota; Actinomycetes. The record is from RNAcentral.